Molecule: long non-coding RNA, 453 nt
Organism: Limanda limanda (common dab)
Lineage: Eukaryota; Metazoa; Chordata; Actinopteri; Pleuronectiformes; Pleuronectidae
Exons: 3
Source: RefSeq, a predicted model, not a curated record
CCCCCCCCCCCACACACACACAAACAAAGAGGCGUUAGGCUGAGACGCUGAAAGUCCGGAUUUAAAGUGCAGAAAAUUAAGCCAUUGAAUCUGCCUGUCCAUGACGUACAAAGACACACUAUGAGCCAGUAUGAUCCGACCAGACCUUACAUCAGCAUUGAGGAGUUGUCGGAGAAGAAAGAGGCUGAUUGAAGCGGGACAGAUGACAUGGAUCCAUCCUUCCACAGCCAGGAGCGCACCGACCUGUGUCCCACACUUCAUAUAAGACUGGAAGCUACACUGAUCUCACAGCUACACACCACAGACGUCUACACACUGGAGAAGAUUCAGACAGAGUCCCACAAAGAAGUCAUGACCCAGAGGCUGCAGAGAAACAUUUCAAGCCUCAUCUGAGUUUUUGUACAAUAUUUUUGCUGUAUGUAAAUAAAGCUUUCACUCCACAUAUACCUUGUU